CGUAGGGUGCGAGCGUUAAUCGGAAUUACUGGGCGUAAAGCGUGCGCAGGCGGUUUGUUAAGAUAGGCGUGAAAUCCCCGGGCUCAACCUGGGAACUGCGCUUAUGACUGGCAAGCUAGAGUACGGCAGAGGGGGGUGGAAUUCCACGUGUAGCAGUGAAAUGCGUAGAGAUGUGGAGGAACACCAAUGGCGAAGGCAGCCCCCUGGGUCGAUACUGACGCUCAUGCACGAAAGCGUGGGUAGCAAACAGGAUUAGAUACCCUGGUAGUCCACGCCCUAAACGAUGUCAACUAGGUGUUGGAUGGGUAAAACCAUUUAGUACCGGAGCUAACGCGCGAAGUUGACCGCCUGGGGAGUACGGCCGCAAGGUUA
RNAcentral lists this ribosomal RNA (372 nucleotides) under uncultured organism. RNAcentral's name for it is "bacterial SSU rRNA". It matches the Rfam family "Bacterial small subunit ribosomal RNA", at positions 526 to 896 of the family's 1533-position model. The record is from RNAcentral.